AUUGAUAUAACCAGUGCCUUGUUAACAGAUGUGACCUGAUCUUUGCAGGGCCUGUCUCAGAUACUUACCUGUAUAUACCUGUGGGAGGAAGAAGAAAAAGGCAACUUUCAGCUUGAAGGCCAAGGUGUUACUACUUAGAAUUUAGGGCACAGAAGGCUGGUGUGUGUCGGCAGUGAUAUUUGGGAGAAUGAGUCUGUUUGGGAGACACUUUAGGUCAUACCAGCAGCAGCUGCUGACAUAUGAACCUCGCAGAUGAAGAUGCCAUAGCAUGGCUAUUUCUCGACUGCACUGCUGAAGUUUAAGAACAUCAACCAGACUGCUGUGUUGAGAAGAAUACAGACACUGCAUUCAGAUUCAGUGAGAAAGAGUGCUUUGAUCAACUAAUAUUUUCUGCAGUGGUCCAUCCAUGUGUGUUGGGUUUUACUGUUCCUGGCUUAAGCAUUCUCUACAACCAUGAGCUUGCAACUAAAAUGCUGAGAAAUGUAUGGCUACCAUAAAGCCAGUUUAAAUCUAUAUGCCAAAAGGCCUUAUUUAAA
This 536-nucleotide long non-coding RNA is filed under the name Homo sapiens (human). RNAcentral describes it as "HSALNT0322914". Lineage: Eukaryota; Metazoa; Chordata; Mammalia; Primates; Hominidae. The record is from RNAcentral.